UCUUCUCUCUCUCUCUCUCUCUCUCUCUCUC
RNAcentral lists this small RNA (31 nucleotides) under Arabidopsis thaliana (thale cress). RNAcentral's name for it is "ATSL007640". Lineage: Eukaryota; Viridiplantae; Streptophyta; Magnoliopsida; Brassicales; Brassicaceae. The record is from RNAcentral.